This 594-nucleotide ribosomal RNA is filed under the name Triticum aestivum (bread wheat). RNAcentral's name for it is "partial small subunit ribosomal RNA". Lineage: Eukaryota; Viridiplantae; Streptophyta; Magnoliopsida; Poales; Poaceae. The record is from RNAcentral.
AUGCUUCAGAUACCUUCACUGAAGAUGCGUACACUGCUGAUCAGGUACAUGGUUGAGAUUUUUGAUCCUAGUGUCAAGGGCAGAUUCAUUGUACAAGACUUGGUUGGCGAAGUGUCUCUCGGUCCCGUGGAUGUUGAGUGCAUCUUGGCCUUGGAGAACCACAGACUGUCGGCAGAAGGUAUUCUCGGUGAGGAAGGUGAGGAUGUUAAAGAUCGAGUGCCGUCUCAAUUCCUGAGCAAGACCACAGGUAACAUAGUUAUCGAUGAUCUGAUUGUGGACAUCACAAAAAAUAAAUCUGCCGACGACGAUUUCCUUCGGAGAGUUGUCCUCAUGUUGCUUGGAACAGUUCUUGCUCCCAUGUCAAGCAAGACUGUACCAAAGCAAUAUUACGCAUUGGUGGAGGAUGUGAAGCGUAUAUCCAAGAUUAAUUGGAAUGCAUUCACCCUCCGGGUUCUGCUGGACUGCCUUCGCAACGUGAGGAAAGGCAAACACCUCCGCCAAUGGCCGAGAGGGAACUUAGCUCUCCUGCAGGUACACCUUUCAGACUUGUACCAUUGCAAAAAAAGUAUGAUUGCUAAUUUACCUGCUGUAUAG